CGGGGCCGCGGAGGCUGGGCUAGUGCCUGGCACGUGUUUGGUGGCCAGUACUUGUCGGAGGUAUAAUUUGCUUUAAUUUGAAGAAUACUGCUGAAACCUAAAAUACAUAUAUUAGAAAAGAAGGCUGAAGAAUCCAUCAUCUAAGCUCCAUCCAUCUCUACAAGUUAGAAAAAAUAAAAAAGGCAGAGUUAAAAAUUCUGAUUAACGAAGAGAAAUAUUUGCCAGCCAGAAUUUCUACUGAGAAUCAUUUAUUGAAGAAGCAAACAUCAAGGAGUUUGAUCCUCUAACCAUUGGUUUCCUCCAGCAUCAGCAUUCUCCUCCACAGGGGAUGAUACUGGAAGUGACAACCAUUAAGUUUCCCUUGAUCGUCGGGGGAUUCAGCAAGUUCUAUAAUUCUUCACGUGCAAUAUUGUGAGAUCUACUCACACUGCCAAAAUGGACAUCUGUUUUAUUCUGAAAGCUGCAUGGACCUCUAUGAAGACACCUUCCACAGUUUACUAGUUGAUUUCUGGACUAGUCUCACCCAGGCUGCCUUCAAAAUGGCCACCUGCCACCACAAAUAAUACUGCAAUAAACAUGUAUGUCACUUUACAAAGCUA
This is a long non-coding RNA of Zalophus californianus (California sea lion), 599 nucleotides long. RefSeq lists it as uncharacterized. The record is from RefSeq and is a predicted model, not a curated record. The transcript has 5 exons. Lineage: Eukaryota; Metazoa; Chordata; Mammalia; Carnivora; Otariidae.